GGGGAAUAUUGCGCAAUGGGGGAAACCCUGACGCAGCGACGCCGUGUGAGGGAAGAAGGCUUUCGGGUCGUAAACCUCUGUCAGGAAGGAAGAACCUCUCAAGGCUGAACAAGCCUUGGGACUGACGGUACUUCCAGAGGAAGCACCGGCUAACUCCGUGCCAGCAGCCGCGGUAAUACGGAGGGUGCAAGCGUUAAUCGGAAUCACUGGGCGUAAAGCGCGCGUAGGCCGUCUUUUAAGUCGGAAGUGAAAACUCAGGGCUUAACCCUGAGCCUGCUUUCGAUACGGGCAGACUUGAGGGAUGUAGGGGAGAACGGAAUUCCUGGUGGAGCGGUGGAAUGCGCAGAUAUCAGGAGGAACACCAGUGGCGAAGGCGGUUCUCUGGACAUUUCCUGACGCUGAGAAGCGAAAGCGUGGGGAGCAAACA
Molecule: ribosomal RNA, 427 nt
Filed under: uncultured Propionibacteriaceae bacterium
Lineage: Bacteria; Bacillati; Actinomycetota; Actinomycetes; Propionibacteriales; Propionibacteriaceae
Description: bacterial SSU rRNA
Rfam family: Bacterial small subunit ribosomal RNA
Source: RNAcentral